MicroRNA precursor from Cebus imitator (Panamanian white-faced capuchin), 93 nucleotides. The record is from Ensembl. NCBI's taxonomy places the organism in Eukaryota, Metazoa, Chordata, Mammalia, Primates, Cebidae.
GGGGACUGUGGGGUGACCCUGGAAAUCCAGAGUGGGUGGGGCCUGUCUGACCCUCUAGGCGACCCACUCUUGGUUUCCAGGGCUGCCCUGGAA